AUGAAUCUGUAUCUGCACCCUAAGUUAUGGCCACAGUUAGCAGGAACUAAAACCUUACAUGUGGCUGAUGCUCAGAGAGUGAGGAAAAUCACAGUUCAUGAUGGCAUUUGGGACGCAGAGCUGCCAAGAGCAAAAAGAAACCAUUCAUAUCACCUUAGAUACCACGGCUCUUCCUACUCCAGGUGCUUCCUGGAGAGGUAUAGAUGCAAAACUAUAGGAGUCUUUAGAAGAAGCAACCAGCCGGACUGUCUUGAAACGCGAUCAGAAAAAGCCAAGAAUAGAGAUGGGGUUGUUCAGGAAAAAUCUGUGAGGACCCUCUUUUCUGAAUGUGUGAAUCAAUGUGACAUACGUAGAAGACCCACAAGAUUUUUGAGAAUGUUCUACCAUCAGAAACACUUCCAACUGGGCCUAAAAGGGACAGAGACAGAAAAAAAUGAAAGAAGAUUGUGA
Homo sapiens (human) is the source of this 450-nucleotide long non-coding RNA. Ensembl annotates it as DIAPH2 antisense RNA 1. Its record names the gene DIAPH2-AS1. NCBI's taxonomy places the organism in Eukaryota, Metazoa, Chordata, Mammalia, Primates, Hominidae. The record is from Ensembl.